GGGGCUUCCAGAACCCAAACCAAGUCAGCAGCCCCCAGCCCCAGCCCCAGCCCCAGCCCCAGCCCCGGCCUCCCCUGUCUGAGGUGUCUGGGUUUAAUUUUCUGGUCAGUGCAGAAAGCAGGAGGAAGAGGACGAGGAGGAGGAGAAGAAAGGAGCGAGUUGAAGUUCUAAUGCAGUCGGCUGGGAUCUGUCACUCAGCGCACAGCCCGCUGACGACUCAGGGCAGCCCCAGCUGUAAGCAGCCCAUGAUUUAUGGACACCGAGUGAACUCCUGCGGCAGAAACCAGCCUUGAGAUCAGAGCGGCAAUAGGGCCCUUUUUUUGGCAGGAGACAGGGCCUGCAUUUUUCUCAUUCAUGCCAAACUGCUUUGCACGGCAAUUAGCUCUGUCCUCAUUUAGUCUCCAGUCCCAAAGGGUAAUGAAAGUCAUAUAUCAUCUUCAAGACUGCUAAUUAUUGAGCUCGCUUACAGUUGUCCGCCGACCGUCUGGAUUGUAAUCCAAACCAGCAGACUUCCGUGGGUGCGGUUAACUAAGGGAAGUUGUUUUUUGUGAAGAGAUUGCUCCGAUACAAGCUAAUAAUCCAUCAUAUCCAGAAGCAAAACAAAGAGCAUGGACUUCGGAGACAGACUUCCAGGAAUCGGAUCUCAGUUCCAUCAUUUACUUGUCCUGUGAUCAUGAGCAAGGGACAAGAGGGCUCCGGCGCGCUCUCCUCCCCAGGCCUGGGAAACAGGUUCUCAAGAGCCCUCCGACCCCCAAUCGAUCCCAGUCUCCCGCCUGGGACAGGGGAUGCUUGGAGAGCGAGGAGAGGGACGCGGGGAGCGGCACCUCCCCCAGGCCGAGGCUGGGCGGCCGAGUCCGACCUGCGCCGCUCUGAGCAAAACGAAACUCAAACUCCCAAAAUUCUCGACAGGGGAAUUUAAAAAAUUCCCCACCCCCCUUUCCUUUCACUUUUAACAAACCAGCAGCUGGGGGAAAAAUUAAACGAAAUGAGCGAUAGCUAAGGACGCUAUCUUUCCAAACUGUGAAACCCCUUUAAAAAAUAUUUUCGAAGGCCAGCCCCACAACUGGCCAGCUCUUCUGAAGCCUUUGCCUCUUCCUGAAAAUCACAUCAAAACAGUCGGAAAUGCGGCCAAGGUCCUGGGAUGGAGUAGCCGAGAGGCCCAGAGAACCCGCUGCUGCUGAAACCGCCAUGCUCUUCUUUCUCUUUAACCAAAAAAUAAAAAAGAUAAUAAUAAGAAGUAAAACCUUUUAAUACAUCAAAUAUACGGAAUUUUAAUCUUUAAAGCGAUACAUUGUCUAUUAUUUUAGUACAUGACGUAAACCUUACUUGUCCCCUUCUCAGCGGGUGGACUUAAAAAUUAAAAAUAGUUAAGUGUUCCUUUUAAAGAACAAAAUAAGGCAAAUGAGGUUUUGGAAUAGAAUUGUUUUUCCUUUUUUUUUUUUGUUUUCUUCCAGAAUACAUACAAAAAAAUACCCAUUCUCUUUCGAUGGUAUACACCUUAAAAAUAAUUGCAAUUUGAAAUCAGAGCUGACAAAUUGUGACUUGUUUUGUUUUUUUUUUCAUUUUUUGUAACAAACAUGCAUGUAAAUUUGUGUUUCAAUCAGACAUUAAAUAAGAACGUACAAUACAAUCAUAGCAAUUUUAAAGUAACAUUAAAGAGAAGACCUC
RNAcentral lists this long non-coding RNA (1668 nucleotides) under Sus scrofa (pig). RNAcentral describes it as "lncRNA (ENSSSCG00025077113.1)". The record is from RNAcentral. Lineage: Eukaryota; Metazoa; Chordata; Mammalia; Artiodactyla; Suidae.